Molecule: ribosomal RNA, 637 nt
Filed under: uncultured fungus
Lineage: Eukaryota; Fungi
Description: eukaryotic LSU rRNA
Rfam family: 5.8S ribosomal RNA (bases 228-380)
Source: RNAcentral
AGUAAAAGUCGUAACAAGGUUUCCGUAGGUGAACCUGCGGAAGGAUCAUUACCGAGUGAGGGCCCUCUGGGUCCAACCUCCCACCCGUGUUUAUUUUACCUUGUUGCUUCGGCGGGCCCGCCUUUACUGGCCGCCGGGGGGCUCACGCCCCCGGGCCCGCGCCCGCCGAAGACACCCUCGAACUCUGUCUGAAGAUUGAAGUCUGAGUGAAAAUAUAAAUUAUUUAAAACUUUCAACAACGGAUCUCUUGGUUCCGGCAUCGAUGAAGAACGCAGCGAAAUGCGAUACGUAAUGUGAAUUGCAAAUUCAGUGAAUCAUCGAGUCUUUGAACGCACAUUGCGCCCCCUGGUAUUCCGGGGGGCAUGCCUGUCCGAGCGUCAUUGCUGCCCUCAAGCCCGGCUUGUGUGUUGGGCCCCGUCCUCCGAUUCCGGGGGACGGGCCCGAAAGGCAGCGGCGGCACCGCGUCCGGUCCUCGAGCGUAUGGGGCUUUGUCACCCGCUCUGUAGGCCCGGCCGGCGCUUGCCGAUCAACCCAAAUUUUUAUCCAGGUUGACCUCGGAUCAGGUAGGGAUACCCGCUGAACUUAAGCAUAUCAAUAAGCGGAGGAAAAGAAACCAACAGGGAUUGCCUCAGUAACG